AUCGACACAAAUGUGUGAAAUUUCCUUUUAUUUUGUUAUAAUUCUGUGUUGUGUCAUUUAAAAGCAUGGUCUGGAUGGUAAAGUUUGUCUUUGGUAAUUAAAACAAACUUGUCAAUACAUUUGACUUUCUCUGUAAAGAUUUAUUUAUAUAUUUAUGUUUAUUAUUUUACAGUGUUUUAACAUUUUUCUGUAUUUUUCAUGUUUAUGAUAUUUUGGAAUGACUGGAGAUAAGGUCAGAAUUCAAUAAUCUUCUGGAUGGACCGCAGCAAGUUCUUUUUGCAGUUGUAUCCCUCAAAAUGGUAUGCAGAAAUAUUGGAAAUGACAUUCACAUUGUAGAGCUUGGACAAAGUUCACACAGACUCGGAGCAGAAAUUCAUCAAGGACAUGACUGUUGGGAUUACGGUUGUAGAUGACCAAACUGAGCACCAUCAAUCUGCAGCGAUGUGGUCCAGUCAUCCGGUGAAAUUAAGGGUUGUGAAAGAAAUUGAAGAGGGCAUUCUGAUUAUAACUGAGGAGCAGCAAUGUGAUGUGCUUCCCAAGGAAUAACCAACAUAGCUGUCAUUUGUACAUCUCGUCAUCACUGACAUAUCCCAUGUCCCCAAGGCAUUUGGACUCCUAAUGGGUCUGUAUGCAGUGAACAUCCACUACCUCAAGCACAUGAAAUACACCAUUGAGGCUCUGCAAAAACUUGUGAAGAACAGCUGCUCCCACCAUGUGUUCGCUACAGCGACAGGAAUUGUAGGUGGGGGGAGUGAAUGUACAGCGCUCUCUCCCUCCUUCAAUACCACAACUGAGGUGCCCUUGAGCAAGGCACCGAACCCCCAACUGCUCC
Long non-coding RNA from Cyprinus carpio (common carp), 832 nucleotides. RefSeq lists it as uncharacterized. The record is from RefSeq and is a predicted model, not a curated record. The transcript is spliced from 3 exons. Lineage: Eukaryota; Metazoa; Chordata; Actinopteri; Cypriniformes; Cyprinidae.